GUCUACAGCCAUACCACCCUGAACAUGCCCAAUCUCGUCUGAUCUCGGAACCUAAGUAGGGUCAGGCCUGGUUAGUACUUGGAUGGGAGAAAUGUACAAAGGGCUUUGAGAUUCAGAUGCACC
This is a non-coding RNA of Cavia porcellus (domestic guinea pig), 123 nucleotides long. Lineage: Eukaryota; Metazoa; Chordata; Mammalia; Rodentia; Caviidae. The record is from Rfam.